RNAcentral lists this ribosomal RNA (585 nucleotides) under uncultured bacterium. Its description in RNAcentral is "partial 16S ribosomal RNA". It matches the Rfam family "Bacterial small subunit ribosomal RNA", at positions 355 to 1375 of the family's 1533-position model. The record is from RNAcentral.
UGGGGAAUUUUGGACAAUGGGCGGAAGCCUGAUCCAGCAAUGCCGCGUGUGUGAAGAAGGCCUUCGGGUUGUAAAGCACUUUUGUCCGGAAAGAAAUCCUUGGCUCUAAUACAGUCGGGGGAUGACGGUACCGGAAGAAUAAGCACCGGCUAACUACGUGCCAGCAGCCGCGGUAAUACGUAGGGUGCAAGCGUUAAUCGGAAUUACUGGGCGUAAAGCGUGCGCAGGCGGUUUGCUAAGACCGAUGUGAAAUCCCCGGGCUCAACCUGGGAACUGCAUUGGUGACUGGCAGGCUAGAGUAUGGCAGAGGGGGGUAGAAUUCCACGUGUAGCAGUGAAAUGCGUAGAGAUGUGGAGGAAUACCGAUGGCGAAGGCAGCCCCCUGGGCCAAUACUGACGCUCAUGCACGAAAGCGUGGGGAGCAAACAGGAUUAGAUACCCUGGUAGUCCACGCCCUAAACGAUGUCAACUAGUUGUUGGGGAUUCAUUUCCUUAGUAACGUAGCUAACGCGUGAAGUUGACCGCCUGGGGAGUACGGUCGCAAGAUUAAAACUCAAAGGAAUUGACGGGGUCAUAGCUGUUUCCU